This 584-nucleotide ribosomal RNA is filed under the name uncultured bacterium. RNAcentral's name for it is "partial 16S ribosomal RNA". It matches the Rfam family "Bacterial small subunit ribosomal RNA", at positions 355 to 937 of the family's 1533-position model. The record is from RNAcentral.
UGGGGAAUUUUGGACAAUGGGCGAAAGCCUGAUCCAGCAAUGCCGCGUGUGUGAAGAAGGCCUUCGGGUUGUAAAGCACUUUUGUCCGGAAAGAAAUCCUCUGGGUUAAUACCUCGGGGGGAUGACGGUACCGGAAGAAUAAGCACCGGCUAACUACGUGCCAGCAGCCGCGGUAAUACGUAGGGUGCAAGCGUUAAUCGGAAUUACUGGGCGUAAAGCGUGCGCAGGCGGUUUUGUAAGACGGAUGUGAAAUCCCCGGGCUUAACCUGGGAACUGCAUUCGUGACUGCAAGGCUAGAGUAUGGCAGAGGGGGGUAGAAUUCCACGUGUAGCAGUGAAAUGCGUAGAGAUGUGGAGGAAUACCGAUGGCGAAGGCAGCCCCCUGGGCCAAUACUGACGCUCAUGCACGAAAGCGUGGGGAGCAAACAGGAUUAGAUACCCUGGUAGUCCACGCCCUAAACGAUGUCAACUAGUUGUUGGGGAUUCAUUUCCUUAGUAACGUAGCUAACGCGUGAAGUUGACCGCCUGGGGAGUACGGUCGCAAGAUUAAAACUCAAAGGAAUUGACGGGGUCAUAGCUGUUUCC